UACGAAGGUCCCAAGCGUUGUUCGGAAUCACUGGGCGUAAAGGGAGCGUAGGCGGCGCGGUAAGUCAGAUGUGAAAUCCCGGGGCUCAACCCCGGAACUGCAUCCGAUACUGCCGUGCUUGAGGGUUGGAGAGGUAGCUGGAAUUAUCGGUGUAGCAGUGAAAUGCGUGGAUAUCGAUAGGAACACUCGUGGCGAAGGCGAGCUACUGGACAACAUCUGACGCUGAGGAUCGAAGGCCAGGGGAGCAAAAGGG
RNAcentral lists this ribosomal RNA (253 nucleotides) under uncultured bacterium. RNAcentral's name for it is "partial 16S ribosomal RNA". It matches the Rfam family "Bacterial small subunit ribosomal RNA", at positions 524 to 776 of the family's 1533-position model. The record is from RNAcentral.